AGUAUUUGGUCGUAGACCCGAAACCAGGUGAUCUACCCUUGGUCAGGUUGAAGUUCAGGUAACACUGAAUGGAGGACCGAACCGACUUACGUUGAAAAGUGAGCGGAUGAACUGAGGGUAGCGGAGAAAUUCCAAUCGAACUUGGAGAUAGCUGGUUCUCUCCGAAAUAGCUUUAGGGCUAGCCUCAAGUGAUGAUUAUUGGAGGUAGAGCACUGUUUGGACGAGGGGCCCCUCUCGGGUUACCGAAUUCAGACAAACUCCGAAUGCCAAUUAAUUUAACUUGGGAGUCAGAACAUGGGUGAUAAGGUCCGUGUUCGAAAGGGAAACAGCCCAGACCACCAGCUAAGGUCCCAAAAUAUAUGUUAAGUGGAAAAGGAUGUGGCGUUGCCCAGACAACUAGGAUGUUGGCUUAGAAGCAGCCAUCAUUUAAAGAGUGCGUAAUAGCUCACUAGUCGAGUGACACUGCGCCGAAAAUGUACCGGGGCUAAACAUAUUACCGAAGCUGUGGAUUGUCCUUUGGACAAUGGUAGGAGAGCGUUCUAAGGGCGUCGAAGCAUGAUCGCAAGGACAUGUGGAGCGCUUAGAAGUGAGAAUGCCGGUGUGAGUAGCGAAAGACGGGUGAGAAUCCCGUCCACCGAUUGACUAAGGUUUCCAGAGGAAGGCUCGUCCGCUCUGGGUUAGUCGGGUCCUAAGCUGAGGCCGACAGGCGUAGGCGAUGGAUAACAGGUUGAUAUUCCUGUACCACCUAGUAUCGUUUUAAUCGAUGGGGGGACGCAGUAGGAUAGGCGAAGCGUGCU
This 797-nucleotide ribosomal RNA is filed under the name Staphylococcus sp. HMSC34G04. Its description in RNAcentral is "bacterial LSU rRNA". It matches the Rfam family "Bacterial large subunit ribosomal RNA", at positions 698 to 1496 of the family's 2925-position model. The record is from RNAcentral. Lineage: Bacteria; Bacillati; Bacillota; Bacilli; Caryophanales; Staphylococcaceae.